UUCUCUCUAUCUGCUCAUCAUCUCUUUCUAACUCUCUCUCUCUGUCCCUCUCUUUCUUUCUUUUUUUCGUUAAACAAGAUAUAGCCUCGGAUUUCUUAACGAUCGGGAGUCCAAACAAUAUCCGAUCGUCCCGAAAUUUUAACCUAAGUGUCAGCGUUGGUUUUGUACACGAUCGGAGGUUCAAACAUUGUCCGAUCGUUCUGAAAUUUUAAAGGAAGAGGUAGAAUUAAGGGGAGUGUUUGUUGGCGGAGCUCCCAGGAUAAGCAUGCACAAACCGAACCUGCCCGGUGGUUCCGAACCGCCGGUUCAUGAACUGGAACCGGCACCGGCGGUUUCGCGAUUCAAGCGGGCCGGUUCAGGUUCGUGAAAAUCAUGAACCGUGAACCGGCGGUUCAAGGGUCCCAACGGGAAGAUUCCGGCUAGGGGCGUAGGGUUGCAGGCGAGGGUUGCAGAAAAGCCGCCGGUUUGAACAGUCGGUUUCUGACGGUUCCGGUGCUUUUUCAGGUGGCAGAGCGUAGGGUGCAGCGUAUAGGCCUGAAAACCGGUCCGAAACCGGUGGUUUCCGUCAGAAACCGUGGACUGAACCACCGGUUUUGGUCCGAACCGCCGGUUCAGGCGGUAAACCGACCGAAUUUGAAAUUUCAAUUUUUUUUAUUUCUUCCUAUUUUACUCCUAUAAAUACCCCACUUCCCCCCUCAUUUUUACUCACCCCAUUCUUGUGUUAACAAGGAUUUCAUUCUCAAUCUCACUUUCUCUAUUCUCUCCUCAUUCUUUUUAAUUGCUGAAGUUAUUUACUAGUUACUACUUACUACUAUAUUUGUUGCUGUGUUCGUAAUUUACCAUUUAUUCCAUACUCCAUAUUCCAUCCAUACUACUUUCAUUUAUCACUAUGUCUUCUUCUCGUGGU
Salvia splendens (bonfire salvia) is the source of this 907-nucleotide long non-coding RNA. RefSeq lists it as uncharacterized. The transcript has 3 exons. The record is from RefSeq and is a predicted model, not a curated record. NCBI's taxonomy places the organism in Eukaryota, Viridiplantae, Streptophyta, Magnoliopsida, Lamiales, Lamiaceae.